CCUACGGGUGGCAGCAGUGAGGGAUAUUGGUCAAUGGUCGGGAGACUGAACCAGCCAAGCCGCGUGAGGGAUGAAGGUACAGAGUAUUGUAAACCUCUUUUGUCAGGGAACAAAGGCGGGGACGUGUCCCUGGCUGAGUGUACCGGAAGAAAAAGCAUCGGCUAACUCCGUGCCAGCAGCCGCGGUAAUACGGAGGAUGCGAGCGUUAUCCGGAUUUAUUGGGUUUAAAGGGUGCGCAGGCGGUCUGUUAAGUCAGCGGUCAAAGUCCGGGGCUCAACCCCGGCCCGCCGUUGAAACUGGCAGUCUCGAGUUGGAGAGAAGUAUGCGGAAUGCGCGGUGUAGCGGUGAAAUGCAUAGAUAUCGCGCAGAACUCCGAUUGCGAAGGCAGCAUGCCGGCUCCACACUGACGCUGAGGCACGAAAGCGUGGGUAUCGAACAGGAUUAGAUACCCUAGUAGUC
RNAcentral lists this ribosomal RNA (459 nucleotides) under uncultured bacterium. Its description in RNAcentral is "partial 16S ribosomal RNA". It matches the Rfam family "Bacterial small subunit ribosomal RNA", at positions 338 to 795 of the family's 1533-position model. The record is from RNAcentral.